CUGCAGUUCUGCCUUCUCUUCUGAAUCCUCAACGUCAGCCUGUGAAGGAAAAGAAAACCAGACAAAAUGCGUGAGUGUAUUUCCAUGCAUGUGGGCCAAGCCGGAGUCCAGAUGGGUAACGCCUGUUGGGAGCUGUACUGCCUGGAGCAUGGGAUCCAGCCGGACGGACAGAUGCCCAGUGACAAGACCCGUGGAGGUGGAGACGACUCCUUCAACACCUUCUUCAGUGAGACCGGAGCCGGAAAGCAUGUCCCCCGUGCCAUCUUCGUUGAUCUGGAGCCCACUGUCAUCGAUGAGGUGAGGACAGGUAUUUAUCGCCAGCUGUUCCACCCUGAGCAGCUGAUCACUGGUAAGGAAGAUGCUGCCAACAACUACGCCCGCGGUCACUACACCAUCGGCAAGGAGAUCAUUGACAUUGUGCUGGACAGGACACGCAAACUGGCUGACCAGUGUACAGGUCUCCAGGGAUUCCUCAUCUUCCACAGCUUCGGAGGAGGCACCGGUUCUGGUUUCACCUCCCUGCUGAUGGAACGUCUGUCUGUCGACUAUGGAAAGAAGUCUAAGCUUGAGUUUGCCGUUUACCCAGCUCCCCAGGUGUCCACGGCUGUGGUGGAGCCCUACAACUCCAUCCUGACCACUCACACCACCCUGGAGCACUCUGACUGUGCCUUCAUGGUGGACAAUGAGGCCAUCUAUGACAUCUGCCGUAGGAACCUUGACAUUGAGCGUCCCUCGUACACCAACCUCAACAGGCUCAUUGGUCAGAUUGUCUCCUCCAUCACUGCCUCCCUGCGUUUCGAUGGAGCCCUUGAAUGUUGAUCUGACAGAGUUCCAGACCAACUUGGUGCCCUACCCUCGUAUCCACUUCCCUCUGGCCACAUAUGCCCCGGUCAUCUCCGCUGAGAAGGCCUAUCACGAGCAGCUGUCAGUCGCUGACAUCACCAACGCCUGCUUCGAGCCGGCCAAUCAGAUGGUGAAGUGUGACCCUCGUCACGGCAAAUACAUGGCCUGCUGUCUCCUGUACCGUGGUGACGUUGUUCCCAAAGAUGUCAACUCUGCUAUCGCUGCCAUCAAAACCAAGAGGAGCAUCCAGUUUGUGGACUGGUGUCCCACUGGCUUCAAGGUGGGUAUCAACUACCAGCCCCCUACGGUGGUUCCUGGAGGAGACCUGGCCAAGGUCCAGAGGGCUGUGUGCAUGCUGAGUAACACCACGGCCAUCGCUGAGGCCUGGGCCCGUCUGGACCACAAGUUUGACCUGAUGUAUGCCAAGAGAGCCUUUGUGCACUGGUACGUUGGUGAGGGCAUGGAGGAGGGAGAGUUCUCUGAGGCCAGAGAAGACAUGGCAGCCCUGGAGAAGGAUUAUGAAGAGGUGGGCACUGACAGCGUGGGAGAAGAGGAUGAGGAGGGAGAGGAAUAUUAAAAGGCUAAACAUGCUUUGCCACCCUACAUUCCAACACUAACUGUUGGAGUCCUACACUUAACAUGACAGCAACACAUUCCCCACUGCAGUGUUAACAGUCUCUGUUCACAUCUCGUCAUGUUGUGUGUAUUCCCAAUAAACACGCCACGUCUCUUGUCUAGACAAAAAAAAAUCGAAUGUGAAACGAGUUUGUUUUUUGGCAAAUCUGUUGAACUUCUGCAGCAGCCGUUAAUGAGUUCUCUGUGAGUAAGUUCUACCAGUCAAUGUAGGAGUUGCGUCAUGGAACUGAACCCACCUGUGCAAAUAUGGUUGUAGCCUACUGAAAUAGAAUAAAUGACACGUGAUGUGUUUCAGGGGUAGACAUCACUGCAUCAUUUUUAGCCUAAGAAUGAUUUUGGUGACAGCUAUUGAUAUUUGGUAGGCAUUAAACUUGAAUACAUUUCUGCCAAACUGGUACAUCAAUGCUGACAUUGUGGAAAGUCUUCCACAGGGAGACUCAAAGUCAAUCUUAAAUUAAUCUUUAUUGCCAGCUCACUGGAAAGGUUCCAUCCAACUCAGUGCACCAUAGUACACGUCAAUCAGGAGCUCUGCCGGGGCAGUCCCGGCAGUUGUCCUAAAAACGGCUAUAUACACACACACACAAGUUAUAUUUG
RNA transcript from Oncorhynchus gorbuscha (pink salmon), 2073 nucleotides. It is a transcript of the gene named tubulin alpha chain-like, with no coding region annotated. The transcript is spliced from 4 exons. The record is from RefSeq and is a predicted model, not a curated record. Lineage: Eukaryota; Metazoa; Chordata; Actinopteri; Salmoniformes; Salmonidae.